Molecule: ribosomal RNA, 450 nt
Filed under: uncultured bacterium
Lineage: Bacteria
Description: SSU rRNA
Rfam family: Bacterial small subunit ribosomal RNA
Source: RNAcentral
AGAGCGAACGCUGGCGGCAGGCUUAGCACAUGCAAGUCGAGCGGGCGUAGCAAUACGUCAGCGGCAGACGGGUGAGUAACGCGUGGGAACGUACCUUUUGGUUCGGAACAACCCAGGGAAACUUGGGCUAAAUACCGGAUAAGCCCUUACGGGGAAAGGAUUUAUCGCCGAAAGAUCGGCCCGCGUCUGAUUAGCUAGUUGGUGAGGUAAUGGCUCACCAAGGCGACGAUCAGUAGCUGGUCUGAGAGGAUGAUCAGCCACAUUGGGACUGAGACACGGCCCAAACUCCUACGGGAGGCAGCAGUGGGGAAUAUUGGACAAUGGGCGCAAGCCUGAUCCAGCCAUGCCGCGUGAGUGAUGAAGGCCCUAGGGUUGUAAAGCUCUUUUGUGCGGGAAGAUAAUGACGGUACCGCAAGAAUAACGCCCGGCUAACUUCGUGCCAGCAGCCGC